Penaeus indicus is the source of this 2249-nucleotide long non-coding RNA. RefSeq lists it as uncharacterized. The record is from RefSeq and is a predicted model, not a curated record. NCBI's taxonomy places the organism in Eukaryota, Metazoa, Arthropoda, Malacostraca, Decapoda, Penaeidae. The transcript has 3 exons.
CAUUUGUGCUGGGUAAAAAUGAAAAAAAAAUGGGGAAAAUACUGUGCUCAUUUUUUCAUGAAAUUUCUAGAUGGCUCUGCCUUACCUGAUUUUACCUUUACUUGAAUUGGCGGGAAAAUGUAUUUUACUAGUGUUACGAAUAUUGAUGGUUAUUUUUAUUAUAAACAUUAUAAUUACUAUAAUGUUAUAAACAUUAGUAACAACAAAAUAAGAUAAUGCAAAAUAAUUUCGUAAAUUAAAGAAAAGGGUAAACAGGCGAGACAGGCAGUACAAGUACAAGAGUAGCCAUCUAUGUAUGAAAACAAUUAAACAAGUAAACUCAAAGUGAGCAUGUCACGUAUACGUGACAUCCAGUGCGAAUGGGUUAAUAUUUUAAUAACAAUUUAGUAACCAUAUUGUAUUAUAUUAUUAUAUUUAAUGUUGUUAAUACUUUAAUUGCAAUUUAGUAACCAGGUUAUCAAUCAGAAUAGAAAUAGUAUCAAUAUUAGUAAUAUUAGAAAAUAAAAUACAUUUUCUCGCAAAUUCAAGGAAGGGGGAAAUCAGGCUUGUUCAAUAAGGCCUACUGAUAGAAUUCUUGGUGGCUGAGCACAUGUGGAGCUGUUUGUAUGUAACAAAAUUCUCGGAAAAAUUACAGGGAACAAUCCAUAUAAUGCAGAAGUAAUUUUGCAUCUCAAGCUUUUAAUCAUGGAUGUUUAGGCUGAUACUGUUGGAGCCUAAACUUUUUUUUGUCUUAUUCAUUUAUUCAACUCACAUCACACUUGGAGACGGUUACAAGAAGAAACUCUGUGUUUCUGUGAGGAAUUUGUGCUAAAUGUGUUGUUAUUAUUCAUAUAUAUGAUUUUCUUAACAGGCAGGGUGUAGCCUGUUUAAACUUGUAGAUAUUUCUUAUGACUUAUUUCUGUUACUGUUUUUAGUUUGGAAAUUAUUAUUAUUCUUUAUAUUAUUAACCCAUUGCUGCCGGGGAAAAUGGACAAAAAAUGGGGGAAAUGCAGUACUCAUUUUCUAUAUUUUUGUGAAAUAUCUCUGUCCAUAGAUGGCUCUGCUAGUCCUGAUUUCACCUUUCCUUGAAUUGGCGGGAAAAAACGUAUUUUUACAAGUGCUAUAAAUAUAGAUGGUGUUAUUUUUAACAGCAAAUUAGGAAAACGUUAAAUAUUUUCGUAAAUCGAUGAAAAGGGUGAACGGGCGAGAAAGGCAGUAUUCGUAAUUGGCUCAUUGGAUACUUAGUACAAAUGUAGCUAUCUAUGUGUAAAAACAAUGGAACAAGUCAACUCACAGUAGGCAUGGCAUGUACGUACAUGUCAUCCCCGGCGGCAAUGGGUUAAUAUUACUAUGUAUUAAUGAUCAGCUGUCCUCAGUAAUGCUCAUAAUGGCUAGCUUCAAAUGGCAACAUGUGUAUGUGUAUGUGUAUAUAUAUAUUUGUAUAAUGUAUAUACAUAAUUUGAAUUUUUUUCUUUUUAUUCUUUUUUGUCAUUUCUUUUGUAAAAGCAGAUUUUUUUGUGUAGAUGAAAAAUAUGUUUAUAAAUUUCCAUAUUUUGCAUAUUUAUUGUCUAACUUGAGUUAAUUUUGUUAAGACUCAUAUUUUCUUAAUUUCACUUCUCAAAUUUACAGGAACCAAUAUUUUUCCUUUACACAAUGCUGUUGCCUCAAGAAACUUUAACGAAGUUCAGCGUCUACUGGCAGAUGGACAUGAUGUUAAUGAACUACAUUAUGACCGUGUCACACCACUUCACAUGGCAUGCUUGUCAGGAGAUUUGAAGACUACGCAAUACCUUAUUGAGAGGGGAGCAUGGCUGCUCAGACGAGACCUACUCACCCGAGGGGGUAACAGCCACUAGCGUAUCUCAAACAUCCUCGGGUUUCCAGUAUGGAGUGGAGAAGUGCCGUGCCACGUCACAAGUACGCCCGUACGAAAACGCACGUGUGAGGCGUGAGGCGCAAAUCGAAGAGGCCAUAGGUGUGAGGAGAGAGGAGCAAGAUGAAGAAAAGUGAGGAUAAAGCUACAAACGCUCGGACAUUACGUGAGAUAUGUGAAAACCUGUUAACAUUACAAGCGAAUAUUGGUCACAAAGUGCAAUUAAAUAGUGGCGAUUAAAACAUUUAAUUUCUGUUGUAUGAAUUAUUUUGUUGAUUUAUAAUUUUUUUUUUCUAUUUUUAAUAUUUUUAUCUUUAUCAUUUGUUUUUUUUUUUAUCUUUAUCAUUUGUUUUUUUUAUAUCGUGUGUGUGAAUUCAACAAUAAACCUGGAUGGUUA